UACGGGGGGGGCAAGCGUUGUUCGGAAUUACUGGGCGUAAAGGGCUCGUAGGCGGCCAACUAAGUCAGACGUGAAAUCCCUCGGCUUAACCGGGGAACUGCGUCUGAUACUGGAUGGCUUGAGUGUGGGAGAGGAAUGCGGAAUUCCAGGUGUAGCGGUGAAAUGCGUAGAUAUCAGUCGGAACACCGGUGGCGAAGGCGGCUUCUUGGGCCGUACCUGACGCUGAGGCGCGAAAGCCAGGGGAGCGAACGGG
This 253-nucleotide ribosomal RNA is filed under the name uncultured bacterium. Its description in RNAcentral is "partial 16S ribosomal RNA". It matches the Rfam family "Bacterial small subunit ribosomal RNA", at positions 524 to 776 of the family's 1533-position model. The record is from RNAcentral.